This 254-nucleotide ribosomal RNA is filed under the name uncultured bacterium. RNAcentral's name for it is "partial 16S ribosomal RNA". It matches the Rfam family "Bacterial small subunit ribosomal RNA", at positions 524 to 776 of the family's 1533-position model. The record is from RNAcentral.
UACAGAGGUCUCAAGCGUUGUUCGGAUUCAUUGGGCGUAAAGGGUGCGUAGGCGGCGUGGUAAGUCGGAUGUGAAAUCUCCAGGCUCAACCUGGAGGGGUCAUUCGAUACUGCCGUGACUAGAGUUCGGUAGAGGAGUGUGGAAUUCCUGGUGGAGCGGUGAAAUGCGCAGAGAUCAGGAGGAACACCCGUAGCGAAGGCGGCACUCUGGGCCGAUACUGACACUGAGGAGCGAAAGCGUGGGGAGCGAACAGG